GCUUACCUGCAGUCGAACGGAAAGGCCCUGCUUUUGUGGGGUGCUCGAGUGGCGAACGGGUGAGUAACACGUGAGUAACCUGCCCUUGACUUUGGGAUAACUUCAGGAAACUGGGGCUAAUACCGGAUAGGAGCUCCUGCUGCAUGGUGGGGGUUGGAAAGUUUCGGCGGUUGGGGAUGGACUCGCGGCUUAUCAGCUUGUUGGUGGGGUAGUGGCUUACCAAGGCUUUGACGGGUAGCCGGCCUGAGAGGGUGACCGGCCACAUUGGGACUGAGAUACGGCCCAGACUCCUACGGGAGGCAGCAGUGGGGAAUAUUGCACAAUGGGCGGAAGCCUGAUGCAGCAACGCCGCGUGCGGGAUGACGGCCUUCGGGUUGUAAACCGCUUUCGCCUGUGACGAAGCGUGAGUGACGGUAAUGGGUAAAGAAGCACCGGCUAACUACGUGCCAGCAGCCGCGGUGAUACGUAGGGUGCGAGCGUUGUCCGGAUUUAUUGGGCGUAAAGGGCUCGUAGGUGGUUGAUCGCGUCGGAAGUGUAAUCUUGGGGCUUAACCCUGAGCGUGCUUUCGAUACGGGUUGACUUGAGGAAGGUAGGGGAGAAUGGAAUUCCUGGUGGAGCGGUGGAAUGCGCAGAUAUCAGGAGGAACACCAGUGGCGAAGGCGGUUCUCUGGGCCUUUCCUGACGCUGAGGAGCGAAAGCGUGGGAGCGAACAGGCUUAGAUACCCUGGUAGUCCACGCUGUAAACGGUGGGUACUAGGUGUGGGGUCCAUUCCACGGGUUCCGCGCCGUAGCUAACGCUUUAAGUACCCCGCCUGGGGAGUACGGCCGCAAGGCUAAAACUCAAAGGAAUUGACGGGGCCCCGCACAAGCGGCGGAGCAUGCGGAUUAAUUCGAUGCAACGCGUAGAACCUUACCUGGGUUUUGACAUGGAUCGGGAGUGCUCAGAGAUGGGUGUGCCUCUUUUGGGGGUCGGUUCACAGGUG
RNAcentral lists this ribosomal RNA (983 nucleotides) under uncultured Actinomycetes bacterium. RNAcentral describes it as "bacterial SSU rRNA". It matches the Rfam family "Bacterial small subunit ribosomal RNA", at positions 46 to 1040 of the family's 1533-position model. Lineage: Bacteria; Bacillati; Actinomycetota; Actinomycetes. The record is from RNAcentral.